AGCAGCCGCGGUAAUUCCAGCUCCAAUAGCGUAUAUUAAAGUUGUUGCAGUUAAAAAGCUCGUAGUUGAAUUUCGGGAUCAGUACGCUGGUCGUGCCUUUGGUAUGUACUGGUGUCACUGAUUCCUCCCUUCUGAAGAACCGUUAUGCCAUUUAUUUGGUGUGGCGGGAAAUCAGGACUGUUACUUUGAAAAAAUUAGAGUGUUUAAAGCAGGCUCGCGCUUGAAUACAUUAGCAUGGAAUAAUGAAAUAGGACGUUUGAUCUUAUUUUGUUGGUUUCUAGGAUCGACGUAAUGAUUAAUAGGGAUAGUUGGGGGCAUUAGUAUUCAAUUGUCAGAGGUGAAAUUCUUGGAUUUAUUGAAGACUAACUACUGCGAAAGCAUUUGCCAAGGAUGUUUUCAUUAAUCAAGAACGAAAGUUAGGGGAUCGAAGACGAUCAGAUACCGUCGUAGUCUUAACCAUAAACUAUGCCGACUAGGGAUCGGAUGAUGUUAAUUUUUAAUGUACUC
This 507-nucleotide ribosomal RNA is filed under the name uncultured Glomus. RNAcentral describes it as "SSU rRNA". It matches the Rfam family "Eukaryotic small subunit ribosomal RNA", at positions 569 to 1080 of the family's 1831-position model. Lineage: Eukaryota; Fungi; Glomeromycota; Glomeromycetes; Glomerales; Glomeraceae. The record is from RNAcentral.